AGAGUUUGAUCCUGGCUCAGAAUGAACGUUGGCGGCGUGGAUUAGGCAUGCAAGUCGAGCGAUGAAGUUCCCUUCGGGGGAUGGAUUAGCGGCGAAAGGGAGAGUAACGCGUGGAUAACCUGCCCUCAGGACCGGGAUAGCUGCGGGAAACUGCAGGUAAUACCGGAUGAUGUCUCCGGACUAAAUGGUGUGAUUCCGCCUGAGGAUGGGUCCGCGUCCUAUUAGCUAGUUGGUGAGGUAAUGGCUCACCAAGGCAAUGAUGGGUAGCGGGCGUGAGAGCGUGGCCCGUCUCACUGGGACUGAGACACUGCCCAGACACCUACGGGUGGCUGCAGUCGAGAAUCUUCGGCAAUGGACGCAAGUCUGACCGAGCGACGCCGCGUGCGGGAUGAAGGCCUUCGGGUUGUAAACCGCUGUCAGAGGGGAUGAAAUGCCAGGUGGUUAUCCAUCUGGUUUGACAUAUCCUCAGAGGAAGUGCGGGCUAAGUUCGUGCCAGCAGCCGCGGUAAGACGAACCGCACAAACGUUAUUCGGAAUCACUGGGCUUAAAGGGUGCGUAGGCGGCGCUGUAAGUUGGAUGUGAAAUCCCACAGCUCAACUGUGGAAUUGCGUUCAAUACUGCAGUGCUUGAGGGAGAUAGAGGAGAGCGGAACUACGGGUGGAGCGGUGAAAUGCGUUGAUAUCCGUAGGAACACCGGUGGCGAAAGCGGCUCUCUGGGUCUCUUCUGACGC
This 731-nucleotide ribosomal RNA is filed under the name uncultured bacterium. RNAcentral's name for it is "bacterial SSU rRNA". It matches the Rfam family "Bacterial small subunit ribosomal RNA", at positions 8 to 746 of the family's 1533-position model. The record is from RNAcentral.